AAAGACUAUAAUUUUACACUGUUUGUGUCCAACGUUUGAUCAUUCGUCUUAUUUGAAAAAAAUUUAUAGAUAGUAUUUAUAUUGUUAUUAGAUGAUAAAACAUGAAUAAUACUUUAUGUUUGAUAUUUUUUUAAUUUUUUCAUAAAUUUUUUAAAUAAGACGGACAAUCAAACAUUGAAUACAGAAACCCACAACAAUACUUAUA
Oryza glaberrima (African rice) is the source of this 205-nucleotide non-coding RNA. The record is from Rfam. Lineage: Eukaryota; Viridiplantae; Streptophyta; Magnoliopsida; Poales; Poaceae.